This 460-nucleotide ribosomal RNA is filed under the name uncultured bacterium. Its description in RNAcentral is "partial 16S ribosomal RNA". It matches the Rfam family "Bacterial small subunit ribosomal RNA", at positions 338 to 795 of the family's 1533-position model. The record is from RNAcentral.
CCUACGGGAGGCAGCAGUGAGGAAUAUUGGUCAAUGGGCGGGAGCCUGAACCAGCCAAGUCGCGUGAGGGAAGACGGUCCUAUGGAUUGUAAACCUCUUUAGGCGGGGAGCAAUGCCGGGCACGCGUGCCCGGAGGGAGAGUACCCGCAGAAUAAGCAUCGGCUAACUCCGUGCCAGCCGCCGCGGUAAUACGGAGGAUGCGAGCGUUAUCCGGAUUUAUUGGGUUAAAAGGGUGCGUAGGCGGAGUUUUAAGUCAGCGGUAAAAUGUCCGGGCUCAACCCGGGCCGGCCGUUGAAACUGGGGAUCUUGAGUGGGCGAGAAGUAUGCGGAAUGCGUGGUGUAGCGGUGAAAUGCAUAGAUAUCACGCAGAACUCCGAUUGCGAAGGCAGCAUACCGGCGCCCGACUGACGCUGAGGCACGAAAGCGUGGGGAUCGAACAGGAUUAGAUACCCUAGUAGUC